AACGAACGCUGGCGGCAGGCCUAACACAUGCAAGUCGAGCGAACCCUUCGGGGUUAGCGGCGGACGGGUUAGUAACGCGUGGGAAUAUACCCUUUGGUACGGAAUAGCCUCGGGAAACUGAGAGUAAUACCGUAUGUGCCCUUCGGGGGAAAGAUUUAUCGCCAAAGGAUUAGCCCGCGUUGGAUUAGAUAGUUGGUGGGGUAAUGGCCUACCAAGUCUACGAUCCAUAGCUGGUUUGAGAGGAUGAUCAGCAACACUGGGACUGAGACACGGCCCAGACUCCUACGGGAGGCAGCAGUGGGGAAUCUUAGACAAUGGGCGCAAGCCUGAUCUAGCCAUGCCGCGUGGACGAUGAAGGCCUUAGGGUUGUAAAGUCCUUUCAGAUGGGAAGAUAAUGACGGUACCAUCAGAAGAAGCCCCGGCUAACUCCGUCG
Molecule: ribosomal RNA, 434 nt
Filed under: uncultured bacterium
Lineage: Bacteria
Description: bacterial SSU rRNA
Rfam family: Bacterial small subunit ribosomal RNA
Source: RNAcentral